AUGAUCUUGACGAUGACAAUUGAUAGCCUCAGAAUCCUUGAAUCUUGCUGUGAUCUUUGGUUUAUUCUCCGCAAAUCGAAGAAGAAGACGGAAACACUGAAGCUGCUACGAUGCACUUCAGUUUUUUGUUACGCCAUCGUGAGAAAGAAGAGAGGUUUUUGCUUCCAUUUUCGUGAUUACCGUAAUGGAAAGAAGGAGAGAAAGUGA
Vicia faba (fava bean) is the source of this 207-nucleotide non-coding RNA. The record is from the annotation of a GenBank genome assembly. NCBI's taxonomy places the organism in Eukaryota, Viridiplantae, Streptophyta, Magnoliopsida, Fabales, Fabaceae.